This 254-nucleotide ribosomal RNA is filed under the name uncultured bacterium. RNAcentral's name for it is "partial 16S ribosomal RNA". It matches the Rfam family "Bacterial small subunit ribosomal RNA", at positions 524 to 776 of the family's 1533-position model. The record is from RNAcentral.
UACGUAGGGCGCAAGCGUUGUCCGGAAUUAUUGGGCGUAAAGAGCUCGUAGGCGGUUUGUCGCGUCUGCUGUGAAAACCUAAGGCUCAACCUGGGAAUUGCAUUGGAUACUGGCAGGCUAGAGUGCGGUAGAGGGUAGUGGAAUUCCCGGUGUAGCAGUGAAAUGCGUAGAGAUCGGGAGGAACACCAGUGGCGAAGGCGGCCCGCUGGGCAGUGGCUGACGCUGGAGGCGCGACAGCGUGGGGAGCAAACAGG